This is a long non-coding RNA of Populus trichocarpa (black cottonwood), 943 nucleotides long. RefSeq lists it as uncharacterized. NCBI's taxonomy places the organism in Eukaryota, Viridiplantae, Streptophyta, Magnoliopsida, Malpighiales, Salicaceae. The record is from RefSeq and is a predicted model, not a curated record. The transcript is spliced from 2 exons.
AGUUUAAACAACGAAUUCACCUGGAGUACUAGUCAAUAAAUCUAAGAAAGAAAAAACCGUGUGGUGAUAACGUGAAAUAAUGUUCUAGGCCUGUUACAGUAGCAAGUGAAUUACAAUGCAAAGGAAAGGAAGGAAAUGAAGAACUUACAUACCUGGAGACGAAGCCGACUGCACUGGUGCACUGUCUGAUCGGGCGCUCUCUCCUCUGUGUCUUGCUUUCCUCCUCGUCUUCUCUUGUUCUUUCUUUCAGCUGGCUUUGUUUUUCUUGUUAUCUCUGUCUCUCUUUAUUCUCUGUUUUUCAUCAUUUCUGGUUUUUCACCCGAUUUCUGCUUGUUCAUCCCUCUGAGUUUUUUUUCUGUUCGUCCCUCUGGUUUUUCUCUGGUUGCUGCUGAAGAUGGAGCUGUGGAGCUGCUACUGAAGACGAAGUCGAGGGCGUGCUACAGGAAUACACAAGUCUCCCCUUCUGUUUUUCACUUAUCUUCCUCUUCGUCAUGGCCUUUCUCUGGCUUUUAUAAAGCCAGAGAAUGCCAUGCGGUCGCCCAGCAAAUGAAACGGACUCGCAGGAUCGUUACUAUAAUAAUGAAGACGCAUCAUGGGGCAGGCGAGACGUCUAUUUUCCAUUCUGGUCUGAUGAAGCGAAGAAGAUGAACAGUGUUAUUUCAAACGGCGCUGUUUUUGGGAUGGGAAUGGUCAUUUGCAGUUUGGUCACAGAAGUCGUGAAAUUGUGUAAUCCGGCCCCCUUAUUCAGGAAAAUCCCCUUUCAAUUUCGCCCCUGGCUAAAUUGCAAUUGGACCCCUAGAGUUUAGCACAAUUCACAAAACAGUCCUUGGUUUCUGAAUUAUUCAAUUAAGUCUGUAAUUGACUUUCAACUUUUAAUUGUUUCAAAAUUACCCCUGGCAAAAUCAAUUAAGCGCCCUACAGUACUUUUUAUUUUUUAUUUUAA